RNAcentral lists this small RNA (357 nucleotides) under Drosophila pseudoobscura pseudoobscura. RNAcentral's name for it is "GA31350". Lineage: Eukaryota; Metazoa; Arthropoda; Insecta; Diptera; Drosophilidae. The record is from RNAcentral.
AAGCUCGUUUUUUCAACACUGCUUGUUGCUCUCGCGUUGUGCGCGGUUUGAACAAAUCAAAAUGUACGCGCAUGCGAAAGAAACCAAAGUUAUUUGUACGAUCAGCAAACAAUACAGAAGAUCUCUGCACUAAUUUUCACCUGAGCGCAGCCAGUGCAGUGGGUGUUUCUCUGUGCGUUUUUGUUUUUUGUGUGAUUUGAUUCAAUUUGAUUGAAGGCAGCCCACUUGCCACUUGUGCUGCAACAAAAAAGCGGAAUAAACGCAAAAAAAAAACACUGAGGAGACUGCAAUUGGAACUGAAUGGCAGUUGUCGGCCUUUCGUCUUCUUCAUCAUCUUCGUUCAUUUUGAAGGUAAGC